RNAcentral lists this long non-coding RNA (1738 nucleotides) under Canis lupus familiaris (dog). Its description in RNAcentral is "lncRNA (ENSCAFG00040012014.1)". Lineage: Eukaryota; Metazoa; Chordata; Mammalia; Carnivora; Canidae. The record is from RNAcentral.
CUGGAUGACCUGUACCCUUGACACUCUGCCCUUGUCCCCUCUGAAAAUCAUAACUUCAUCUACGGGACAGGCCUUUAUGUUUUGUGAUUGUUCCAAGUCCUCCAGAAGCUGGGGAAACCCAGGGGGAAGAGCUUACAGACUGCUUAGGGCUCUGAUUCGCUGGGCAUUGACAGAUUUUGAAGGGGGCGUGAGGUGGUCUGAGCUAGCACAAUGCUUCCAGAGGGUGUCUCCUUCCUCCUUCAGUCUGACUCGCUCUAAAUGAGCACUCUAUCACCUAAGGAUUCCUCAAUAAUGCAAGAAGUAGAAGACCCUAGACAAAAACAAACUACAGCACUCACAGUCACUGAGACUGGCAUAUGGUGCAAAUGGAGAUCAACCUGAGCUGAAAUUUCUGGGUAGCAGGGAGACAAUUGCUUCAAGCAGCCAGUAAGGGCAUCCAGUUUAAGUCUAGCCGUUCUCUGUGCAGCGCCCUCUGGUGGUUAGGAUAUAUUGUAGUUUAAAAAGCUGGAUCAUGAAACUGAAUGUUAAUAAAUAGUCAAAAAAUAAAUAAAUAAAUAAAUAAAUAAAUAAAUAAAUAAAUAAAUAAAUUAAAUAAAUAGUCAAUAUUUAGUCAUCACUUUCCAUGUUCCAGGCCCUUUUCCAAAUAACUUAAAUCUAUUCUAUGAUUUAAUUCUAACAAAAUCCUAUGGAGAUAUGCAUAUAUUUGCCCUUUCUACGAAGGAGGACAUUAAUACUUACAGAGGUUAAUUAACUUAACCCAGAUCACAUUGCUAAUUAUGGGGAUGCUGGGAUUCUAUAUUAAAUGUUUGGUUCUUAUCUGCUACAUAUAUCUACAGUUAUAAAUAAAUGUGUAGAAUAUGAGCAAAACAUUGACUUAUGAGGACCUUAGAGAUCAUCUGGUGCUCACCCAUAUUUCAUGAAUAAAUGAAAGCCCAGAAGGAGAGGUACAAAGUUACCUACUGAACAAUCUGAGCUGAAUUCCUGGGUCCCCGGGCUCUAAUUUUUGUUCUUCUGAUUGCACAAAAGCUGCCUGCCUUAUUUGAUUUAAUUUGCCUCUCUUGUGAUUGUGUGACAUUUCCCCAGGAUAGUAAGACAGCCCUACCUAUCCUUAGAAGAAAAAAAAGGGGAAGGACGGAAUAAUCUCUACCAAAUUUGACAACUCAUUAACUACACUUUAUUAAAAAGAUUUAAUUGCUUGCCUUAUAUCCUGUUUUCAGCUUUCUUCUUCAGUAGCAAAUAUCAAUUAAAUUCUAAUAACAAAGAGUCUUACUGCAGUUGACAAAUAAUCCUUUUUAGGAGAAUUGCCCUCAGUGACUCUCCACAGGCAAAAUUUACAAUUCUUUCAGCCACAAUUCUUUGCCGCUGUUUCCUCUAACAUCGGAUGUGACAGGUCUGCCAGGACAAGAAACAGGCUUGCCCUUUGAGGGCAUUUUCCCAUAUAAUGAGGUGGCCCCUGCAGAAAUCACUCUGCCAGUAGUGACAGGCCACUAUAACUCCUGAGGGCUGACCAUACAGUGGCCUAUAAUUUACCCAGCUGACCAGCAACAGUGUGGGACCAAUUUCCUAGGAUGAUGUUCUGAUUUUGCAGUUAAGUUGCUGUAAUAGAACACUUUAUGAAUGACAAGGAGCAAACUAGAUCCCCUCACACCAAAAGUCUAAGGGAAAUAAUUUUACCUCAUUUUUUGGUAUAGCCUUUUUAAAUAACCAGAGCAUAUAAAAAUGCUGCACACUUCUCAGA